GACGAACGCUGGCGGCGUGCUUAACACAUGCAAGUCGAACGGAAAGGCCCUGCUUGCGUGGGGUGCUCGAGUGGCGAACGGGUGAGUAACACGGGAGUAACCUGCCCUUCACUUUGGGAUGACUUCGGGAAACUGGGGCUAAUCCCGGAUAGGAGCUCCUGCUGCAUGGGGGGGGUUGGAAAGUUUGGGCGGGUGGGGGUGGCCGGCCGGCUUUUCGGCUUGUGGGGGGGGGGGUGGCUUACCAAGGCUUGGGCGGGUAGCCGGCCUGGGAGGGUGACCGGCCACAUUGGGCCUGGGAUCCGGCCCAGCCCCCUCCGGGGGGCAGAAGUGGGGAAUAUUGCCCAAUGGGCGGAAGCCUGAUGAAGCACCGCCGCGUGCGGGAUGACGGCCUUCGGGUUGUAAACCGCUUUCGCCUGUGACGAAGCGUGAGUGACGGUACUGGGUAAAGAAGCACCGGCUAACUACGUG
This 468-nucleotide ribosomal RNA is filed under the name uncultured bacterium. RNAcentral describes it as "partial 16S ribosomal RNA". It matches the Rfam family "Bacterial small subunit ribosomal RNA", at positions 28 to 507 of the family's 1533-position model. The record is from RNAcentral.